Molecule: ribosomal RNA, 393 nt
Filed under: Paralomis elongata
Lineage: Eukaryota; Metazoa; Arthropoda; Malacostraca; Decapoda; Lithodidae
Description: eukaryotic LSU rRNA
Rfam family: Eukaryotic large subunit ribosomal RNA
Source: RNAcentral
GGCGCUGUGGGAUGAACCAAACGUCGAGUUAAGGGGCCUAAAUGAAUGCUCAUACAGAUCCCACGAAAGGUGUUGGUUGCUAUAGACAGCAGGACGGUGGCCAUGGAAGUUGGAAUCCGCUAAGGAGUGUGUAACAACUCACCUGCCGAAGCAACUAGCCCUUAAAAUGGUAUGGCGCUAAAGCAUUCUCCCGAUACUCGACCGCCGGUGGCACAACAGGCCUAGCCAUGCAGGUCUUGAAGCCCCGGUGAGUAGGAGGGCCGCGGUGGUGAGCGCUGAAGGGUGCGGCGUGAGCCGGCCUGGAGCCGCCACUGGCGCAGAUCUUGGUGGUAGUAGCAAAUAGUCGAGAGAGACUCUACCUGGAAGACCGAUGUGGGGCAGGGUUCCAUGUAA